Molecule: ribosomal RNA, 196 nt
Filed under: uncultured bacterium tbr4-84
Lineage: Bacteria
Description: partial 16S ribosomal RNA
Rfam family: Bacterial small subunit ribosomal RNA
Source: RNAcentral
ACUCCUACGGGAGGCAGCAGCGGGGAAUAUUGGACAAUGGGCGCAAGCUGAUCCAGCCAUGCCGCGUGUGUGAAGAAGGUCUUCGGAUUGUAAAGCACUUUAAGUUGGGAGGAAGGGCUGUUACCUAAUACGUGACAGUUUUGACGUUACCAACAGAAUAAGCACCGGCUAACUUCGUGCCAGCAGCCGCGGUAAU